This is a long non-coding RNA of Dromaius novaehollandiae (emu), 699 nucleotides long. RefSeq lists it as uncharacterized. The transcript has 4 exons. Lineage: Eukaryota; Metazoa; Chordata; Aves; Casuariiformes; Dromaiidae. The record is from RefSeq and is a predicted model, not a curated record.
CCUCCUUCCCUCUGCAUUUGUUCUGCUUCAGCUUCCUGUUUCAAGGCUUCCUUCUUCCCUCAGUCAUCUUGUCCCCUGUUUUUUCAGCCUCUCGAUUUUGUAGAGCAGCCUUCAGCUGACUCCAGAAAGGUGCAGUGAAGCUCACAAAACCAGUGACUUCCUGCAGCUGCGUUUUUAACAUUAUUAGAAUUUUUUCGGAUAUAAAAAAAGCUUGAUCACCAGCAGUGGAGUUGAUUAACAGAGACCGAAUGAGGUAUUUUUCAAGGAGAGAGUGCAGACUGGUGGCAAGCUGUAAGCUGUGUGUCAGUGUCAAUUUACCUUGUACAGUUUUAGGCCACACGGUAAAGAGGAUUAAGGAACCGUGCCAUCAACAAAUACUCUGGCAAAUCCACAUCCUGUCAGCAGUUUCUCCCUCUCAGCUGAGCUGAAAAUAAAGGAAUUGAUGGUCCAGAGCCUGAAUUUCCUUCUAGUUGUUGGUUGAACCAGGAACAGUGGAGAAACAGAAGAGGUUUUUUAAGCAAGCAGUUCCUAUCCUUUCCACUAGACUUUAUGGGCCUUACAAACAUACAGAAAGGAGUCCUGCUACCUGGGAUAAUUUAAGACAGUAGAGAAAACAUACUGUAACAGCAUCUCUUCAUCCUAUAUGCAACAGAACAGAAGUAUGGACACCAUCUACCCCUGAAAAUCUCCAUCAUGGGU